This 78-nucleotide transfer RNA is filed under the name Marmota monax (woodchuck). RNAcentral's name for it is "tRNA.Ala". The record is from RNAcentral. Lineage: Eukaryota; Metazoa; Chordata; Mammalia; Rodentia; Sciuridae.
GCGGCUCUAACUCAGUGGUAGAGCGCUUGCCUAGCAAGUAGCAAGUGUAAAGCACUGAGUUCGAUCCUCAGCACCACA